This 543-nucleotide ribosomal RNA is filed under the name Triticum aestivum (bread wheat). Its description in RNAcentral is "partial small subunit ribosomal RNA". Lineage: Eukaryota; Viridiplantae; Streptophyta; Magnoliopsida; Poales; Poaceae. The record is from RNAcentral.
AUGGCACCAUCAGCAUCCACUGGUCAGAAAGUCAACCUGAAGGGGUACAAGACCCUACCCCAUGCUAUUCAGCUGGUAACGAUGAUGUCGGGGACGUCUUCAGCUUCAACAUUGACGAUUGGGGACCAGAACAAGAAGUUCAAGGUGAGCCGUGCUUUGACGUGGAUGGUGGUUAUCUGCAUACCGGCUACUUUCAUUGCCGUCACAGCAGGUUCGGCCUACAGGAUGUAUAACAAACCCAUCUGGGCCGCCGGCUUCCCAUCGAGGCUGCCAGUUGUCUUGAUGUUGGGAGCUUACCUGGCAGUGGUGAACCUGGCGCUGGGGUACUUGACCCUCUACUUGCCACAGGCACCCUUCGCUGUGUGGAAAGCUCUGGAUGAUGUUGGUCUCAGGUUGAUUGGCCUUGCCGUUAUCUUAAUCUCUGGCCCUGUUUUGUUGUCUGCCCAGGCGUGGCUGCACAUCAUCUGGGCUUGCCUUCUUGGCGUCCUCAUUGCUGCCAUCCUUGCCUUCUGUGUCUGUCUUGCUCGGACGUACAGCAAGUAG